UACGUAGGGGGCAAGCGUUAUCCGGAAUCACUGGGUGUAAAGGGAGCGUAGACGGCUGAGCAAGCCUGAAGUGAAAGGCGGGGGCCCAACCCCUGGACUGCUUUGGGAACUGUACGGCUGGAGUGCAGGAGAGGGAAGUGGAAUUCCAUGUGUAGCGGUGAAAUGCGUAGAGAUAUGGAGGAACACCAGUGGCGAAGGCGGCUUCCUGGUCUGCAACUGACACUGAGGCGCGAAAGCGUGGGGAGCAAACAGG
Molecule: ribosomal RNA, 253 nt
Filed under: uncultured Eubacteriales bacterium
Lineage: Bacteria; Bacillati; Bacillota; Clostridia; Eubacteriales
Description: uncultured Clostridiales bacterium partial 16S ribosomal RNA
Rfam family: Bacterial small subunit ribosomal RNA
Source: RNAcentral